ACCAAAAGGGAAUAAGAGACCAUCGUCUCUAAUGACAAAAACAGAGAAGAGGAGCUAACCUAAAAUUGAGAGCUUAAAGCGGCCACCCGACUUUUCUAAUUAAAAAGGAGCUCUCUCACCGUGACUUCCUUAAUAGAAACAACAACAUUUGGUUGUUUGGUAAUUAACGGAAAAGGAAAACACAAAGAGAACUAAGAGAAAGCUUUUGCUCUCAUCAGUUUGGCUACAGCCAAUUCUAAGCCGUUUGAGUUCGUCGGCGAGUUUUGAUUCCGGUGCUGGUUCGAGCUUUAUUCUUCAAUAUAAACUUUGAGCCACUUCAUAAGACUUUCGAGGUGUUUCUGGACAAGGUCGGUGUUGAUUAUCUACGCAGCUUGUUCAUUUGGAGAUUUCAAGAUGGUGAGGACAUGUGCUAUCGAACAGGACGAACAACCACCAAUAGCAUCGGUUAGGGCCACAAGAGGUUGAGGUCGCGGUAAGGGCAGAGGUGCAGCUCGUACAAUAGUUAGAGCAGUGCCUGCAGAUCCACCAGUUGCUUCAGCUCUAGAGCAGGUACCAGAUAAGGUUGAGCCAGUGGGGCCAGCUCAGGCACCAGCUACGCACAUUGUGAUUCUAGGCCUUUAGGAGGCUUUGGUUUAGAUACUAACUGUUUGCACUAGCCUUGCUCGGGUGGUCUCUAUUCCGAUCGCAGUAGUCAUUUCUCAGGCCGAGGGAGGUAUUAAGAUUCCCGCCGCCCGUGCGCCAAAGAAGGUAAUGCAGGGACUUCAGACACUAGGGUACUACCAGCCCAGCCAGUUACAGUUUCUCAGACCCAUGUGGGUCCCAUUAUGAGUGAUAAUAAAUAGAGGAGACUAGAGAGAUUUGGGAGGCUUCAGCCUCCAUCAUUUAGCGGGGCUAAGUCAGAGGAUGCCCAUGGUUUCUUGGAUAAAUGCUAGUAGAUUCUUUGCAUGUCGGGCAUUCUAGAGACCAGUGGGGUCUCGUUCAUUACCUUUCAGUUUACUGGGGCUACCUUUAGAUGGUGGGAGGAUUAUGAGAGGCGUAGGCCGGUCAGUGCAACACCACUCUUAUGGCAGGAGUUCUCUAUUCUCUUCUUGGAGAAGUUCAUGUCGUAGUUUCGUAGGGAGGAGCUACGCAGACAGUUUGAGCAGCUAUGUUAGGAGGGCAUUUCUAUGACCCAGUACGAGAUGAGGUUUUU
Long non-coding RNA from Nicotiana tabacum (common tobacco), 1192 nucleotides. RefSeq lists it as uncharacterized. Lineage: Eukaryota; Viridiplantae; Streptophyta; Magnoliopsida; Solanales; Solanaceae. The record is from RefSeq and is a predicted model, not a curated record.